GACGAACGCUGGCGGCGUGCUUAACACAUGCAAGUCGAACGGAAAGGCCCUGCUUUUGUGGGGUGCUCGAGUGGCGAACGGGUGAGUAACACGUGAGUAACCUGCCCUUGACUUUGGGAUAACUUCAGGAAACAGGGGCUAAUACCGUAUAUGAGCUCCUGCUGCAUGGUGGGGGUUGGAAAGUUUCGGCGGUUGGGGAUGGACUCGCGGCUUAUCAGCUUGUUGGUGGGGUAGUGGCUUACCAGGGCUUUGACGGGUAGCCGGCCUGAGAGGGUGACAGGCCACAUUGGGACUGAGAUACGGCCCAGACUCCUACGGGAGGCAGCAGUGGGGAAUAUUGCACAAUGGGCGGAAGCCUGAUGCAGCAACGCCGCGUGCGGGAUGACGGCCUUCGGGUUGUAAACCGCUUUCGCCUGUGACGAAGCGUGAGUGACGGUAAUGGGUAAAGAAGCACCGGCUAACUACGUG
RNAcentral lists this ribosomal RNA (468 nucleotides) under uncultured bacterium. RNAcentral describes it as "partial 16S ribosomal RNA". It matches the Rfam family "Bacterial small subunit ribosomal RNA", at positions 28 to 507 of the family's 1533-position model. The record is from RNAcentral.